Molecule: transfer RNA, 65 nt
Filed under: Gasterophilus nigricornis
Lineage: Eukaryota; Metazoa; Arthropoda; Insecta; Diptera; Oestridae
Description: tRNA-Gly
Rfam family: tRNA
About the family: Transfer RNA (tRNA) molecules are approximately 80 nucleotides in length. Their secondary structure includes four short double-helical elements and three loops (D, anti-codon, and T loops). Further hydrogen bonds mediate the characteristic L-shaped molecular structure. tRNAs have two regions of fundamental functional importance: the anti-codon, which is responsible for specific mRNA codon recognition, and the 3' end, to which the tRNAs corresponding amino acid is attached (by aminoacyl-tRNA synthetases). tRNAs cope with the degeneracy of the genetic code in two manners: having more than one tRNA (with a specific anti-codon) for a particular amino acid; and 'wobble' base-pairing, i.e. permitting non-standard base-pairing at the 3rd anti-codon position.
Source: RNAcentral
AUCUAUAUAGUAUAAUAGUAUAUUUGACUUCCAAUCAUAAGGCCUGUUUAUUAACAGUAUAGAUA